UGGGGAAUUUUGGACAAUGGGCGCAAGCCUGAUCCAGCCAUGCCGCGUGAGUGAAGAAGGCCUUCGGGUUGUAAAGCUCUUUCGGACGGGAAGAAAUGGCGGGCUCUAACAUAGCCUGUCGAUGACGGUACCGUAAGAAGAAGCACCGGCUAACUACGUGCCAGCAGCCGCGGUAAUACGUAGGGUGCGAGCGUUAAUCGGAAUUCCUGGGCGUAAAGCGUGCGUAGGCGGUUUUCUAAGUUCGGUGUGAAAUCUCCCGGCUUAACCGGGAGGGUGCGCCGAAGACUGGGAAGCUGGAGUGUGGGAAAGGCAGGCGGAAUUCCUGGUGUAGCGGUGAAAUGCGUAGAUAUCAGGAGGAACACCGGCGGUGUAGACGGCUUGCUAGACCAUAACUGACGCUGAGGCACGAAAGCGUGGGUAGCAAACA
Molecule: ribosomal RNA, 427 nt
Filed under: uncultured bacterium
Lineage: Bacteria
Description: bacterial SSU rRNA
Rfam family: Bacterial small subunit ribosomal RNA
Source: RNAcentral